CGGGGUAUAGCGCAGUUGGCUAGCGCGCCUGCUUUGGGAGCAGGAGGUCCUGGGUUCAAAUCCCAGUACCCCGACCU
Molecule: transfer RNA, 77 nt
Filed under: Candidatus Veblenbacteria bacterium
Lineage: Bacteria; Candidatus Vebleniibacteriota
Description: tRNA-Pro
Rfam family: tRNA
About the family: Transfer RNA (tRNA) molecules are approximately 80 nucleotides in length. Their secondary structure includes four short double-helical elements and three loops (D, anti-codon, and T loops).
Source: RNAcentral